UACGUAGGUGGCAAGCGUUGUCCGGAAUUAUUGGGCGUAAAGCGCGCGCAGGCGGUCUUUUAAGUCUGAUGUGAAAGCCCACGGCUCAACCGUGGAGGGUCAUUGGAAACUGGGAGACUUGAGUGCAGAAGAGAAGAGUGGAAUUCCACGUGUAGCGGUGAAAUGCGUAGAGAUGUGGAGGAACACCAGUGGCGAAGGCGACUCUUUGGUCUGUAACUGACGCUGAGGCACGAAAGCGUGGGGAGCAAACAGG
This 253-nucleotide ribosomal RNA is filed under the name uncultured bacterium. RNAcentral describes it as "partial 16S ribosomal RNA". It matches the Rfam family "Bacterial small subunit ribosomal RNA", at positions 524 to 776 of the family's 1533-position model. The record is from RNAcentral.